GUGCCAGCAGCCGCGGUAAUACAGGGGGGGCAAGCGUUGUUCGGAAUUACUGGGCGUAAAGGGCUUGUAGGCGGCCGACUAAGUCCGACGUGAAAUCCCCAGGCUUAACCUGGGAACUGCGUCGGAUACUGGUUGGCUUGAAUCCGGGAGAGGGAUGCGGAAUUCCAGGUGUAGCGGUGAAAUGCGUAGAUAUCUGGAGGAACACCGGUGGCGAAGGCGGCAUCCUGGACCGGCAUUGACGCUGAAAAGCGAAAGCCAGGGGAGCAAACGGGAUUAGAUACCCCAGUAGUCC
RNAcentral lists this ribosomal RNA (292 nucleotides) under uncultured bacterium. Its description in RNAcentral is "partial 16S ribosomal RNA". It matches the Rfam family "Bacterial small subunit ribosomal RNA", at positions 505 to 796 of the family's 1533-position model. The record is from RNAcentral.